AUUUAAUUGAGGGGAAUGUUUCUUAAUGAAUGAGUGGGACGAGAAGACCCUAUAAAUCUUUAAUAAUUUUUUUACAAAAUUGAUUAAAAAGUAAGUAAGAUUAUUUUGGUUGGGGUGACUAAAAAAUAUUGUUAAACUUUAUUUGGAUCCACUUGAAGUGAUUGAAUAAAUAAGAUACUUUAGGGAUAACAGCGUUAUUAUUUUGAAAAGAUCAUAUUUAUAAAAUAGAUUGCGACCUCGAUGUUGGAUUGAAAUACCUAGUAGGAGCAGGAUUUUGCUGGGGCAGUUUGUUCAACUGUUAAAUUUUCACUUGAUCU
RNAcentral lists this ribosomal RNA (317 nucleotides) under Oodinychus ovalis. Its description in RNAcentral is "partial 16S ribosomal RNA". The stretch from base 34 to 317 matches the Rfam family "Bacterial large subunit ribosomal RNA", at positions 2075 to 2606 of the family's 2925-position model. Lineage: Eukaryota; Metazoa; Arthropoda; Arachnida; Mesostigmata; Uropodidae. The record is from RNAcentral.